CUUCCGGGUUCAGACGACGCCGAAAUGAAACCUUAACGCUGUCGGGGCCGAGAGAAAUUUGCCCGGAGUUUCUUUAUCGCCCCACCCGGGGAGGGGGGUGUGACGUCACGGUGAAGCAUAUCGCCACGCGUGACGUCACCUCAGAAAAACGCGGAUUUGGGCCAUGGCGGAGGGGCAGCGGCUGCGGCUGGUGCAGGAGGGGCGGCUGGAGCUGCUUCGGGUCGAGCUGCCCCCGGAUGCCGUUCGGGGCUCGGAGGAGCAGAACUGGCGCUACGGGCGCUCAGGAGACACGUUGCUGCACCACGCAGCCCGGUACGGACACCGCGACGUCCUCGCCUACUUGGUGGAGACGCUGGGGAUGGACGUUGAGGUGUUUAAUAGCGACUACAAGAGGCCUCUCCACGAAGCGGCUUCCAUGGGGUACGGGGAGUGUGUUUCCUACCUGCUGGAGAGAGGAGCGAGCGUGGACUGCUUGAAGAAGGCAGAUUGGACCCCCCUCAUGAUGGCUUGCACCCGGAAAAACCUGGAGGUGAUCAAAGCUCUCGUGGAACAUGGAGCCAAUCCGCUGCUGAAGAACAAGGAUGGCUGGAAUUGCUUCCACAUCGCCAGCCGGGAAGGCCAUCCCCAAGUCCUCCGGUACCUGCUGGAUGUGUCCCCAAGCUGCUGGGACACGGAGAGCACGAUAAAGAGAACACCACUGCACACAGCAGCGAUGCACGGCUGCGUGGACGCCGUGGAGCUGCUUCUGGAGCGGUGCCAGUACAAACCUGACAGCAGAGACAAAUGUGGAGUCACUCCCUUUAUGGAUGCAAUCCAGAAUGGGCAUGUCAACAUCGCCAGGCUGCUUCUGGAAAAACACCAGGCCUGUCCCACAGCUGUGGACGCUUUGGGUGCUCAAGCUCUGCACAGGGCAGCUGUCACGGCACAGGAUGAAGCCAUCCGGUUCCUCGUCACCGAGCAGGGUGUCGAUGUCAACGAGAGAGCGACGGACAUUCAGCUCACAGCGCUGCACUACGCAGCCAAGCCUCUGGGUUGGAAUUCCUGCCAGGGACAUGCGAGACGUGCAGACACGCUCCAAGCUCCGACUCCUCUCACAGUUCACAGUAUCACACAGUAUCACAGUAUAUUUGGGAUUGGAAGUGACCUCAAAAGAUCAUCUAGUCCAAUCCCCCUGCUGGAGCAGGAACGCCCAGGAAGGACACACGCACACCAUCCAGACGCUGCUGUCCCUCGGCGCUGAUGUCCGCGCAAAGGACGGGAAGAACCGCUCUGCCCUGCACGCCGCGUGCGCGGGGCAGCAAGCAGACGCUGCACGGAUCCUGCUCCGCGCCGGGCUGGAGGACGCUCCGGAUGGCACCGGCACGCUGGCACGGCAGCUCGCCAGGAAGCCAGAUGUCAUCCAGGUGUUCCAGGAAACAGAUGUCAGCGCGUGAGACCUACUGGGAAAAAAAGAGAAGCCUGUUUCAUUUCAAUGUGCUCCCAGCACGUCCAACCAGCUGAGGCUGCAGCUCCCUGAAGCGGAACCCUCCAAGGAAGGGACCUGGGGACCUGCAUGGCUUGAACCCUCCAGAGCCUGCGAUGUUUCCCUUCUCCUAAAGGAGAAGAUACACCUGGAUCGGUGAUUUUUAUAGCCCUUAAUGAACUGGCUCUCCACUAAUUUCUUAAAUUGCUUUAAUUGGCCACCUCUUUCAGUAGCCCCUGAGAGGCUGAGUGCAUUGUGGGGUGAGCCCUUGGUGACUCUUCCUUCAUCAGGUUUGAGCUGCAUUAGCAUCUUAACAUCUUUUUUGUGUCCCAAAACCUGCUGAGAUCAAUGCAAAGACCUUCACCGUGCAGUGACACCAAGGGUUUUUGGAUCAGACUGAAAAUAAGAGGUAUUUGUUAUUCCAGACAGCCUUGCGUGGCACUUACCAGCACCAAUGAACUUCAAAAAACACCCAAUCCUGCUCUUUGAAUAUAGAGAAAUAGCUUAAAAUUCAAUGUAGCCAGUAAGUUUCUUAACAGCUUGGAAUCCACAUCAAGGUAAGCGCUACUGUAGCUGUUCGGUUUAUUUGUAUCCAUCUGGAAUUAUAAAUUUGGGUUUGCAUAGAAACACAGCACGUCCCUGUCUAUAUGUAACAUCAAGAUGUAAAACAAACCAACGGGAUUCUGCGGUUUUGGUGAUAACAGAUGCUAAAAAUCAGGCCUAUAGCUGAGUGAGCUGCGUUUUGCUCUGCCCACGCCACGGUGCUCACGUCGUGGUUUGAUGCACGACCCACGUGCUCCCAGGUGGGUUUAGGAUGAUCCUGAGCCCCGCUUGAGUGAGAAAUUCCCACCCCGCGGUCCCUGGAGCAGAGUUUGUGGUGACAAUGAGCCGAAGCGACAACAUUGCUGCUAUUUCUUGAGUUAAACAUCCUUUACAUGCGGGGUUGAGGCCUUUCCCCUCUGCCGGCUCGUGUUGUGUGAGGAGAGGUAGUGGCUUUAUUCCUCUAAAGAUCCCGAAUCCUUCUAUAAAUCCAGCCCUGGCUUCCGUACAGCGAAACUACAGCCUGGUAAAUGCAAGCGUCGACUUUAUUCCCACUUUUUAUUAUUUUAGCAAACUGUGAAAUAGCUGUUUCCUCUUAAUAUCCCUGCUGACAAGCUCAGGUUGCUCGUGAGCCUCAGCUUCAAUGAGAAAGCGAGAAUGUUGUCAAAUGCCCGUCUUGGCAAACACCUUGAAAACGUAAAAGGGAAUCUGCAUUAUUUUUAAGGUGCUUUAUGAUUUCUAAAGGCUUCUGGACAGAGGGCUUGUCUGCCUGGGACGGACAGCUCAGGCAUCAUGCCCAAGACCAAAAGCAAGACAUAACGCAGCGACUUUUAUUUACCCUUCUUUUAAAUCUACCCCUCAGGCAAUAAAAAGAUGCACAGAAACAAA
Molecule: RNA transcript, 2890 nt
Organism: Columba livia (rock pigeon)
Lineage: Eukaryota; Metazoa; Chordata; Aves; Columbiformes; Columbidae
Gene: ANKRD16
Gene name: ankyrin repeat domain 16
Exons: 10
Source: RefSeq, a predicted model, not a curated record